GACUAGUGUUGUCUUGACUGUCUCUCGUGUAUGAUGCCUGUUCCUGCUCGUCUGUGCAGCUGCUGUAGGCGGUCUCGUGUUGUUUGGUGAAUCUCGCCAUGUUGGGCGCGUGUUGUGAAUAUCAAAAAGACGCCCGCAGGCCGUGCCAUGAGCAUCCCGCGUUUCUCACUCUCUCACUUCAACAAGGUGUCCUCGCGCCGAUUGUGAACCUUUUAUUAUGGCCUAUCAUGCAUCUCGUAGAGUUGACGCAGCUCGCCAACCGCUUCGGCCCAGGCCUAUAUCUCGCCGAGCAAUCGUCUCUCAAACUAUUCUCCUGCAAUGCCUUCUUCUUUUAUUCGCAUUAGUGAGGGCAGGCGGCACAAGCGCCCGGAUUCUUGCAGCAAACCCGACAACGGACGUAGCACUUCCUUUCUGUGGCGAAU
Long non-coding RNA from Daphnia magna, 422 nucleotides. RefSeq lists it as uncharacterized. The record is from RefSeq and is a predicted model, not a curated record. NCBI's taxonomy places the organism in Eukaryota, Metazoa, Arthropoda, Branchiopoda, Diplostraca, Daphniidae. The transcript is spliced from 3 exons.